Molecule: ribosomal RNA, 254 nt
Filed under: uncultured bacterium
Lineage: Bacteria
Description: partial 16S ribosomal RNA
Rfam family: Bacterial small subunit ribosomal RNA
Source: RNAcentral
UACGUAGGGUGCGAGCGUUAAUCGGAAUUACUGGGCGUAAAGCGUGCGCAGGCGGUUCGUUGUGUCGGCGGUGAAAGCCCCGGGCUCAACCUGGGAAUGGCCGUUGAAACUGGCGAACUGGAGUGUGGCAGAGGGGGGGGUGGAAUUCCGCGUGUAGCAGUGAAAUGCGUAGAGAUGCGGAGGAACACCGAUGGCGAAGGCAGCCCCCUGGGCUGACACUGACGCUCAGCACGAAAGCGUGGGGAGCAAACAGG